AGGGCACCACCAGGAGUGGAGCCUGCGGCUUAAUUUGACUCAACACGGGAAAACUUACCUGGUCAGGACACUGGAAGGAUUGACAGAUUGAGAGCUCUUUCUUGAUUCAGUGGGUGGUGGUGCAUGGCCGUUCUUAGUUGGUGGAGCGAUUUGUCUGGUUAAUUCCGAUAACGAACGAGACUCUAGCCUACUAAAUAGACUGCUCAACUUUAUAGCUGCAUCACCUUGCAGUGGCUUCGGUUGCUGUAAGGCUGUGGUGACGUUGGCAGUGCUUCUUAGAGGGACAGGCGGCGGUUCAGCCGCACGAAACAGAGCAAUAACAGGUCUGUGAUGCCCUUAGAUGUCCAGGGCCGCACGCGCGCUACACUGAAGUGAUCAGCGUGCAAUUAACGUUUCCUACUCCGUCAGGAGUGGGUAACCCGUAGAACCUUCUUCGUGAUUGGGAUAGGGGAUUGUAAUUAUUCCCCUUGAACGAGGAAUUCCCAGUAAGCGCAAGUCAUAAGCUUGCGUUGAUUACGU
RNAcentral lists this ribosomal RNA (519 nucleotides) under uncultured eukaryote. RNAcentral's name for it is "bacterial SSU rRNA". It matches the Rfam family "Eukaryotic small subunit ribosomal RNA", at positions 1161 to 1650 of the family's 1831-position model. The record is from RNAcentral.